AACGCUGGCGGCAGGCUUAACACAUGCAAGUCGAGCGCCCCGCAAGGGGAGCGGCAGACGGGUGAGUAACGCGUGGGAAUCUACCCAUCUCUACGGAACAACUCCGGGAAACUGGAGCUAAUACCGUAUACGUCCUAAGGGAGAAAGAUUUAUCGGAGAUGGAUGAGCCCGCGUUGGAUUAGCUAGUUGGUGGGGUAAUGGCCUACCAAGGCGACGAUCCAUAGCUGGUCUGAGAGGAUGAUCAGCCACACUGGGACUGAGACACGGCCCAGACUCCUACGGGAGGCAGCAGUGGGAAUAUUGGACAAUGGGCGCAAGCCUGAUCCAGCCAUGCCGCGUGAGUGAUGAAGGCCCUAGGGUUGUAAAGCUCUUUCAACGGUGAAGAUAAUGACGGUAACCGUAGAAGAAGCCCCGGCUAACUUCGUG
This 426-nucleotide ribosomal RNA is filed under the name uncultured bacterium. RNAcentral's name for it is "bacterial SSU rRNA". It matches the Rfam family "Bacterial small subunit ribosomal RNA", at positions 32 to 507 of the family's 1533-position model. The record is from RNAcentral.